RNAcentral lists this ribosomal RNA (253 nucleotides) under uncultured bacterium. RNAcentral's name for it is "partial 16S ribosomal RNA". It matches the Rfam family "Bacterial small subunit ribosomal RNA", at positions 524 to 776 of the family's 1533-position model. The record is from RNAcentral.
CACGUAGGGUGCGAGCGUUGUCCGGAAUUAUUGGGCGUAAAGAGCCCGUAGGCGGUUUGUCGCGUCUGCUGUGAAAACUCGGGGCUUAACCCCGGGCCUGCAGUGGGUACGGGCAGACUAGAGUGCGGUAGGGGAGACUGGAAUUCCUGGUGUAGCGGUGAAAUGCGCAGAUAUCAGGAGGAACACCGGUGGCGAAGGCGGGUCUCUGGGCCGUAACUGACGCUGAGGAGCGAAAGCGUGGGGAGCGAACAGG